Molecule: ribosomal RNA, 301 nt
Filed under: uncultured bacterium
Lineage: Bacteria
Description: partial 16S ribosomal RNA
Rfam family: Bacterial small subunit ribosomal RNA
Source: RNAcentral
CAGUCGCCGCGGUAACACGUAGGGUGCAAGCGUUAAUCGGAAUUACUGGGCGUAAAGCGUGCGCAGGCGGUUAUAUAAGACAGAUGUGAAAUCCCCGGGCUCAACCUGGGAACUGCAUUUGUGACUGUAUAGCUAGAGUACGGCAGAGGGGGAUGGAAUUCCGCGUGUAGCAGUGAAAUGCGUAGAUAUGCGGAGGAACACCGAUGGCGAAGGCAAUCCCCUGGGCCUGUACUGACGCUCAUGCACGAAAGCGUGGGGAGCGAACAGGAUUAGAUACCCCCGUAGUCCCUGUCUCUUAUAC